AUUGAACGCUGGCGGCAGGCCUAACACAUGCAAGUCGAACGAGUGGCGGACGGGUGAGUAAUGUCUGGGAAUCUGCCCGAUGGAGGGGGAUAACUACUGGAAACGGUAGCUAAUACCGCAUACUAUCGGAUGUGCCCAGAUGGGAUUAGCUAGUAGGUGGGGUAAAGGCUCACCUAGGCGACGAUCCCUAGCUGGUCUGAGAGGAUGAACAGCAACACUGGAACUGAGACACGGCCCAGACUCCUACGGGAGGCAGCAGUGGGGAAUAUUGCACAAUGGGCGCAAGCCUGAUGCAGCCAUGCCGCGUGUAUGAAGAAGGCCUUCGGGUUGUAAAGUACUUUCAGCGGGGAGGCGUUACCCGCAGAAGAAGCACCGGCUAACUCCGUGCCAGCAGCCGCGGUAAUUC
This 406-nucleotide ribosomal RNA is filed under the name uncultured bacterium. RNAcentral's name for it is "partial 16S ribosomal RNA". It matches the Rfam family "Bacterial small subunit ribosomal RNA", at positions 30 to 526 of the family's 1533-position model. The record is from RNAcentral.